AAUCAUGUUUUUUAUUUUGAAAAUAUAGUCGUUUCUUGGCGUUGGCUAAGUUCGCCCUCACGUGGUGGUUUGGCAUGAAGUGAACUCUAAAAGUUAUACCUCGAGAGUUACCCUACUCGCCUCUCCAGUCGAGGUAAGAAUAUGACCAGAUUUCGUGCGCCUUUAAUAGGCUAGUCCAUAGAACCAGCCCACUGUAGCAAGCUAAACCCACCAUAUAAUAAAAUUUGCAACAGCAUGACAUGGCAAUUUUAUCAUUAUCUAGCCUAUCAAGGCAAACAACAGUUUAUACAUUUCAACACAAAUACCAAUUCAACUGUUCAUGCCAAUAUUGUCAUAAGCCAAUCAAUUAGAACCAUAAAUUCACAAUAUAUAAAAUGGUCUCCAAUUACUCUAUUUAAAAAGCCAUUAUUCAAUUUUAAAACAAUUUUAUGAAAUCAUUUCAUUAAAUCACAUUUGGUUUAUAAAAUCGAAAAAUUAAUCAUUUAAUUCAUUUUCCAUGAAAUUCACAAAAUCGGAUAAAAAUCACUUUAGAUAAUUAAGACGAUAGUAAGGUUACUCACAGUACU
Molecule: long non-coding RNA, 566 nt
Filed under: Theobroma cacao (cacao)
Lineage: Eukaryota; Viridiplantae; Streptophyta; Magnoliopsida; Malvales; Malvaceae
Description: long non-coding RNA (TCAC_LNC003038)
Source: RNAcentral